This 75-nucleotide transfer RNA is filed under the name Caudoviricetes sp. RNAcentral's name for it is "tRNA-Glu". It matches the Rfam family "tRNA". From Rfam's summary of the family: Transfer RNA (tRNA) molecules are approximately 80 nucleotides in length. Lineage: Duplodnaviria; Heunggongvirae; Uroviricota; Caudoviricetes. The record is from RNAcentral.
GGUGCGGUAGACGAAUUGGCGAAGUCAUCACUCUUUCACAGUGAAGAUUGUUGGGUUCAAAUCCCACCCGCAUCA